ACUAAACAUUAUAAAUUAAUUUUACUAUACCCCGACUGUACUCGUGUUCAUUUAGUUACACAAUAUCACCGUGCAUACCUUAUGCUCUACAAGAAAUCUGUUCACUCCACCCAACACGAGUUUGCAUUGUUCAAUUGUAUCCCGUAAACGGAGUUAGACGCUAAACAUAAAGUUUUUAAUUUUUCUCACACUAUUGUCUAAAAAUGAAGAAAUUUUAGCAAAUAGAAACCACAAAUUGUUAUGUCUUACCCUUACUUCAGUAAAACGUAGGAAGACUUUUUUCGUGGUUGAUUUGUUACAUUAAAGCAAUGUAAUCGCAGUUUAUGGUUGUACUAGAAAUGCCAUUAAGCAUUACUUUGGGGUGGCUCACAUCAUCUACGCCUCACCGUAAAAUGUCAGCGAGCGAUAGAGAA
Daktulosphaira vitifoliae (grape phylloxera) is the source of this 413-nucleotide long non-coding RNA. RefSeq lists it as uncharacterized. The transcript has 3 exons. Lineage: Eukaryota; Metazoa; Arthropoda; Insecta; Hemiptera; Phylloxeridae. The record is from RefSeq and is a predicted model, not a curated record.